GCUCAGGAUGAACGCUAGCUACAAGCUUAACACAUGCAAGUCGAGGGGUAGCAGGGUAGCAAUACCGCUGACGACCGGCGCACGGGUGAGUAACACGUAUCCAACCUUCCCAUAACUCGGGGAUAGCCUUUCGAAAGAAAGAUUAAUACCCGAUAGUACUUAUAUAGGGCAUCCUACAUAAGUUAAAGAUUUAUUGGUUAUGGAUGGGGAUGCGUUCCAUUAGAUAGUUGGUGAGGUAACGGCUCACCAAGUCUUCGAUGGAUAGGGGUUCUGAGAGGAAGGUCCCCCACAUUGGUACUGAGACACGGACCAAACUCCUACGGGAGGCAGCAGUGAGGAAUAUUGGUCAAUGGGCGAGAGCCUGAACCAGC
This 371-nucleotide ribosomal RNA is filed under the name uncultured Bacteroidales bacterium. Its description in RNAcentral is "bacterial SSU rRNA". It matches the Rfam family "Bacterial small subunit ribosomal RNA", at positions 22 to 392 of the family's 1533-position model. The record is from RNAcentral. Lineage: Bacteria; Pseudomonadati; Bacteroidota; Bacteroidia; Bacteroidales.